AGGUGGGAGGAUUGCUUGAGCCUGGGAGAUGGAGGUUGCAGUGAGCUGAGAUUAAGCCACCGCACUCCAGCCUGGGCAACAGAG
Molecule: microRNA precursor, 84 nt
Organism: Cebus imitator (Panamanian white-faced capuchin)
Lineage: Eukaryota; Metazoa; Chordata; Mammalia; Primates; Cebidae
Source: Ensembl